RNAcentral lists this long non-coding RNA (1212 nucleotides) under Mus spicilegus (steppe mouse). Its description in RNAcentral is "lncRNA (ENSMSIG00000028571.1)". The record is from RNAcentral. Lineage: Eukaryota; Metazoa; Chordata; Mammalia; Rodentia; Muridae.
AAAACACUUGUAUGGAAGCAGGUAGUAGGCUGGAUAAGAGUCAUGCUCAUAGUUUGUCAGCUUCUGGUUUAAAUCGACAGGACCUACAAGUGUGAAUUAAUAGAACUGUGGAUGAAGGCAUUCCUUGAAAGUGGUGGCCUCUGGAAAACUGUAAAGGAGCUUGGCACUUUGUGGGCAGUAAGGAGACUUGUAAAGAAGACAAAUAAAACCCCUGGGAACAAUAGAGACUCACUCCCUGAGAAGUUCUUGCCCAGUGUUUUCUCUCAUUUCCAGAAGUAUAAAAUCAGGACUGUUCUCUGCAAAACAAGGAAAGCCAAACUGAAAUACUAAAGAGAGAAAGAGAAAAAGUGGUUGGAGGAGAGAGAGGGAAAAAAAGCAGAUGAAGAAAGAGAUGCUGAGGGAUAAGAACUGAUGACAGAGAGACUUGGCGAAGGUGAAAGAAGCCAUAACAGAAUUCUUCAUUGCCUGGUUGGUCCCUCUUACUCUGUGGAUAAAGGAAGGAAGAGGGAGAUGCGAAGGUUUAGAGAAAAGUUACUCUGGCAGUAAAGACAAUGAAAGAAGAUGCUGUUCAUCUUUGGGAGUUGGAAUAAGACAGAACAUUAAUCACUGUAUUAUUCUGAACUAAUUUUCAUCAUUUAAAGUCCCAUCCUACUAGGCAAUGAGUUGUUUUGAUAUCUGGUAUCUCAGAGGAAGGUGCAAAGACUGAUAAAGGCCACAGGACCACAUCUUCCAUGUGCCGGGCACUCAUCCAGUCUGCUUUAAAAGCUAACUCAUUGGUAGAAUCAUGCUCCCUUGCUCCCCAUUUCCUUAAGGUUCACGAAGUAAUAUUUACUUGCUAUCCUUAGAAAACUCUUCUCUGUGGUUGGUGGACAGCAUUUCUUAAUGUUUCUUAGGGUUAAAAUUCAAAGUCUCCAGGCAUAUGGACUACUCUAAACAAAACAGACUCUAAACAAAAAUCUUGAUUAAAAAAAUAUGUGGUCUAUUUUCUUUGGCUCUAAUUUUCUUUCCCUACCUGUGCCUGUACAUAUAGGAGAAAAUCUUGUUCUGUUUUGCUUAGCCAACAGAAAGUUAUUAGUUUUCCCCCCUCCCAGAUCUAUGAGCCAGCAUUUUGGUUUAGGUGUAUAGAAAGUGCAGGUGAUACUGAGAUAGGAAGACAAUUCUAUGGCAUUGCAAGUAAAAGAAACAGAGGUGAGAAAAACAUUGUGUUUUAAG